CAGAUGGGGGUUGGUUAGAUAGUGCGAUGGCUUGGAGUUGGGCCAAUGUUGGAGAUGGAAGAUCAAUGAUUUCAAGAUGGUCAGAGUCAUAGGAUAGGUCAUAGUAAGGUGGUGAUGAGGGAGUUGAAAAGGGGGUGAGAUGGGUUCAUUCAGAAGUAAUGCCUUAGAGAUGAGAAGUAUGGUGGUAGUAAGAUUAAAUAGUUGAAAGGGGGUGAGGAGAGGUUAGAGUUGUGAGAUUCAAAGGG
Molecule: long non-coding RNA, 245 nt
Filed under: Lathyrus oleraceus (garden pea)
Lineage: Eukaryota; Viridiplantae; Streptophyta; Magnoliopsida; Fabales; Fabaceae
Description: Pisum sativum (pea) long non-coding RNA (PSAT_LNC023734)
Source: RNAcentral